GGCUAAUGCCGGAUACGCAUGGAACCGCAUGGUUCCGUUGUGAAAGGCGCUGUAAGGCGCCACUAAAAGAUGAGGGUGCGGAACAUUAGUUAGUUGGUGAGGUAAUAGCCCACCAAGACUAUGAUGUUUAGCCGGGUCGAGAGACUGAACGGCCACAUUGGGACUGAGAUACGGCCCAAACUCCUACGGGAGGCAGCAGCU
This 201-nucleotide ribosomal RNA is filed under the name uncultured Mycoplasma sp. Its description in RNAcentral is "partial 16S ribosomal RNA". It matches the Rfam family "Bacterial small subunit ribosomal RNA", at positions 161 to 355 of the family's 1533-position model. Lineage: Bacteria; Bacillati; Mycoplasmatota; Mollicutes; Mycoplasmatales; Mycoplasmataceae. The record is from RNAcentral.